UGCUUGGCGACAAUAGCGCUGUGGUACCACCUGAUCCCAUGCCGAACUCAGAAGUGAAACGCAGCUGCGCCGAUGAUAGUGUGGGGUCUCCCCAUGCGAAAGUAGGUCAUCGCCAAGCGC
RNAcentral lists this ribosomal RNA (120 nucleotides) under Psychromonas arctica. Lineage: Bacteria; Pseudomonadati; Pseudomonadota; Gammaproteobacteria; Alteromonadales; Psychromonadaceae. The record is from RNAcentral.